UCUUCUACGCGAACUCUUCUAUCUUCUUUAUCACGUUUUGGCUGGCAACUUAGACUUACAGGCAGAAAAAGAAAGAGAGAUAGAAAAAACCUUUUUUUCUUUUAGAAAAUUCCAUUGUUUGUUAUUAGUUUCCUACUAUUUAAUUCUGAAAAUUCAGAGCUAAUCGAAACCCUAAAAAAGAUAUAAUGAGUGGCAACGAAUUUCGAUUCUUCUUGUCUUGCGAUAUCAACCUUCCCGUUACCUUUCGCGUCGACAGAUUGGAGGGGACUUUGCCUUCCCCAAAUUCUCCUAAUUCAGGGACCGAUUCCACUACAGAGGAGAGGAAAGGUGAACUCUAUGUGGAGUGUGCAUUGUACAUUGACGGUGCUCCGUUUGGUCUUCCAACAAAAACAAGGUUGGAGUCUGCAGGACCGUUGUAUUGUUGGAAUGAACUAAUAACAUUGAGUACUAAAUAUCGAGACUUGACUGCACACUCACAACUUGCUUUGACAGUCUGGGAUCUGUCAUGCGGAAAAGAUGAUGGGCUAAUUGGUGGCGCUACGAUUCUUCUAUUCAACAACAAAAUGCAACUCAAAACAGGGAAACAGAAGCUUAGACUCUGGUUAGGGAAACAAGCAGAUGGAUCGUUUCCAACAAGUACUCCUGGAAAGGUCCCCAGGCAAGAGCGUGGAGAAUUGGAGCGUCUAGAAAAGCUUGCAAAUAAGUAUGAAAGGGGACAGAUUCAACCUGUUGAUUGGCUAGAUCGACUCACAUUCAAGGCUAUGGAAAAAAUCAAGGAUAGGGAAAGCUUGAAAAAUGGAAGUUCCCAUUUAUACUUAGUUGUUGACUUCUGUAGUUUUGAACAUCGAGUUGUUUUUCAGGAAUCAGGGGCCAAUUUCUUAUUACCAUCUCCAAUAGCUUCAUCAAAUGAACUGGUCACUGUGUGGGACCCUGAAGUGGGAAAGAUAAACCCUUCUGAGCACAAGCAAUUGAAGCUUGCAAGGAGUUUAACUCGUGGUAUUAUUGACAGGGACCUCAAGCCUAGCUCUAAUGAACGAAAGUCAAUACAAAGAAUUUUGAAAUAUCCUCCUACAAGGGCCUUGAGUGGAGAUGAGAGGCAGCUUCUUUGGAAAUUUCGCUUCUCAUUGAUGUCUGAGAAGAGGGCCCUCACAAAAUUUCUUCGAUGUGUUGAAUGGAGUGAUGUUCAGGAAGCAAAGCAGGCAAUUGAGCUUAUGGGCAAGUGGGAAAUGAUUGAUGUCUGUGAUGCAUUGGAGCUUCUAUCUCCACUUUUUGAGAGUGAAGAGGUUCGUGCAUAUGCUGUUAGUGUUCUUGAAAGGGCUGAUGAUGAAGAACUUCAAUGUUACUUGCUUCAACUAGUUCAGGCACUUCGAUUUGAACGAACUGAUAAAUCUCGCCUUUCUCAGUUCCUUGUGCAACGUUCUUUACGUAAUAUUGAAUUGGCUAGUUUUCUACGGUGGUUUGUUGCUGUGGAACUUCAUGAUCCUGCCUAUGCAAAACGGUUUUAUUCUACCUACGAGUUCCUAGAAGAAAAUAUGAUUAAGCUGACAGCUGGUGUAAAUGGAGAAGAGGAUGGAUUUAAGAUGUGGCAGAGCUUGGUUCGUCAGACAGAACUGACAGCCCAGUUGUGUUCUAUAAUGAGAGACGUGAGAAAUGUGCGUGGCAAUACUCAAAAGAAGAUUGAAAAGCUUAGACAGCUCCUUUCUGGUCUUCUUAGUGAACUUACUUAUUUUGAUGAGCCAAUUCGUUCACCCUUGGCUCCUAGUGUCCUUAUCACUGGAAUUGUACCUUCGGAGUCGUCAAUAUUCAAAAGUGCAUUACAUCCUUUGCGACUAACUUUCCGAACAGCCAAUGGUGGACAAAGUAAGGUCAUAUUUAAAAAGGGUGAUGAUAUUCGGCAAGAUCAAUUGGUUGUCCAAAUGGUGUCACUUAUGGAUAGAUUACUAAAGUUAGAAAAUCUUGAUCUUCACUUAACUCCAUAUAAGGUGCUGGCAACUGGACAAGAUGAGGGCAUGCUCGAAUUCAUACCAUCCCGUUCUUUGGCACAGAUUCUUUCAGAUCAUCGUAGCAUUAUAAGCUAUCUACAGAAAUUUCAUCCUGAUGAACACGGACCGUUUGGGAUUACAGCCACUUGUCUUGAAACCUUCAUAAAAAGUUGUGCUGGCUACUCUGUUAUCACAUAUAUUCUUGGAAUUGGAGACAGACAUCUUGACAACCUUCUGCUUAGGGAUGAUGGACGCCUUUUCCAUGUUGAUUUUGGUUUUAUUCUUGGCCGAGAUCCUAAGCCAUUUCCACCACCAAUGAAACUUUGCAAAGAAAUGGUUGAAGCUAUGGGUGGAGCAGAGAGCCAAUAUUAUACAAGGUUCAAAUCCUAUUGUUGUGAAGCAUACAACAUUCUCCGUAAAUCCAGUAACCUUAUAUUAAAUCUUUUCCAUCUCAUGGCCGGUUCCAACAUUCCUGACAUAGCAUCUGAUCCUGAAAAAGGCAUCCUCAAGCUCCAAGAGAAGUUCCGGUUGGACUUGGAUGAUGAGGCCUGCAUACAUUUCUUCCAGGAUCUUAUCAAUGAGAGUGUUAGUGCCUUGUUUCCUCAAAUGGUUGAGACUAUUCAUCGGUGGGCUCAAUACUGGCGCUGAUCUCAAAAUCAAGUUCAGGAUGUUGAAUACCUGUUUUAAAUACGUAGGGGUAUAUUUAGCUUGCCUCCUCUGCUCUCACCCCCACUUGGACUAACCCUUCAAUAUUUUGAGGUUGUGCCCAGUUAGUUCGUUGAGGUUUGAGGCAAAAAAGAUCUCACAGUGGAUGAAACUGACUGGGCUAUCAACCAAUGAUAAAAUCUGACAGGUUUAUGCCAGCUGGUGUGCUCUCUGCGACGGUCACUGAGGAGGACCAUUUCAAUCUCCAUAGGGGAUCAUCAAACAUGUGCAAUUCUUCAUCAUUCAAGAGAGCCAGUUUUGCUGAAGCAUCUGCAAUCCUAUUAUUCUCUCUAGGAACAUAUCUCAAAGUCCACUUUUCUUCAUUAGCUAGUAUUUGUUGAAUCCUCUUGAUUAGGGUAGAGCUUGAUCCUUCAAGUUUGCUGUUACUAAUAGCUACAACAAUCUUGAGAUUGUCAAAUUGGAUGGUGACCUCAUCGUAUCCUUGUUUGCGAUGUAUGAUUUUCAUGCCUUGGAUUUGUGCACAGGGGGUCCUAAUUUUGGUAAAGAUGUGGACACAUACUUUUUCCCACACCCAGAGCGUCUUAUAUUUAUUUAAACUCAGGUUAUGACUUUGUUGUGAAUUUGAAUCUUUAGAAAGUGUAAAGCUGAGAAAUGGAAAUAAAAUCUUAAUUUUAGUGA
Molecule: RNA transcript, 3326 nt
Organism: Gossypium raimondii (Peruvian cotton)
Lineage: Eukaryota; Viridiplantae; Streptophyta; Magnoliopsida; Malvales; Malvaceae
Gene name: phosphatidylinositol 3-kinase, root isoform
Exons: 18
Source: RefSeq, a predicted model, not a curated record